RNAcentral lists this long non-coding RNA (1119 nucleotides) under Felis catus (domestic cat). Its description in RNAcentral is "lncRNA (ENSFCAG00000041349.2)". Lineage: Eukaryota; Metazoa; Chordata; Mammalia; Carnivora; Felidae. The record is from RNAcentral.
CCUAAGAUCUGACCGUGCAGAACCUUGGGUUGCAAGUAACUUGUUCUGCGAGUGUUCUGCUAGACAAAUAUUUCUAAUGAAUUUUAAUUUGAUAAAUGAGCGAUGUCUUACAAUAUGAGUAGUACGUGGUGCUGAAUGUCACAUGAUCAGAACUGCGCCAAUGGUUCCUCUCUCUCUCUCUCUCUCUCUCUCUCUGUGGGAUUGUGGGUGAUCAUCUCCCAUGCUUGGAUGCUCCAUCUCAGGCUGUGGUGUUUGGCAGAAAUCAGUGAUUUUUCAGAACAUUGGAAGGUGCCCACAACUGGCACUGGUGUAUUUUUUGUCACUUCCAAGCACCUGUGGACAGUCCCUUGCUUUUCCAGACAAGAGUGAGCCUAGGAAUGCUUUGCUUCAUUCUAGGUCAGGCUGCCUGCGGAUCUAGACCCUUUCCUCUGCUGCCUUAUUGCCAGUCACAUGAAAUACAGUAUAUGACAAGAAUUUAUCAAUACUACUGUAGUCAACAUCCGGGCGAGCGUAUACAAUGGCCUCCAUGCAGAAAAAGAUUCUGUCGAGCCAACAGACAGCAAUUUUUCCAGUGGACCACAAUUCACAGAAAAACCUGCUUUGCAGACCAAGCCUGGAGCUCGAUCAAUGGGACAAGGAGGAGAAAAGUUACCUCUAUUUAAUUAGCUGUGGGUCUGUGACAAAUGGGGACAGCCACUGGAGGAUGUGGCACGGCUGCUUAAUUUCACACUGUUUUAUGUUCAAGUAUCUCACCUCCAAAACUUUGUCCAGAUCAUUUUACCAACAACACUUGCUGGAAAGACUUUUUGGAGAAAAAGGCACAUAACGUAUUCUGUUAGGCGGCAAAGCAGCCACUCAGAGACAUAGCACUUUGAUUACACUAUUUGAAAGAAAGAGGGGAUUGGAUUUUAACUACUGUUCUGAAUCCCUCACCUAAGGGGUAGAAUUAUAAAACAGCUCUGCAUCACCCUUGUUAUUACUGUAUAUUUGGACAACGGCAAAAUUAAAAAUUGGGUUGUUCAUCAAAAAUGGCUCAUUAUUUUCAUUAGGGCAUGAGGUACGUGGUUUGUUAACACAGAAUGGCAUCUAGUGAGCGUGUUCAUCCGAUCUGGCCUGAGG